This is a non-coding RNA of Cydia pomonella (codling moth), 72 nucleotides long. The record is from the annotation of a RefSeq genome assembly. NCBI's taxonomy places the organism in Eukaryota, Metazoa, Arthropoda, Insecta, Lepidoptera, Tortricidae.
GUCUCGGUAGCUCAGUUGAAAGAGCUAUGGACUAGUGAUCCAGAGUUGCGAGUUCGAGUCUCGUCCGAGACA